Molecule: ribosomal RNA, 253 nt
Filed under: uncultured prokaryote
Description: partial 16S ribosomal RNA
Rfam family: Bacterial small subunit ribosomal RNA
Source: RNAcentral
UACGAAGGGGGCUAGCGUUGCUCGGAAUGACUGGGCGUAAAGGGCGCGCAGGCGGCCUGUUAGGUCUGGUGUGAAAGCUCCCGGCUCACCUGGGAGAGGGCGCUGGAGACUGGCAGGCUGGAGGGAGGCAGAGGCCGGUGGAAUUCCCGGUGUAGUGGUGAAAUGCGUAGAUAUCGGGAGGAACACCAGUGGCGAAGGCGGCCGGCUGGGCCUUACCUGACGCUGAGGCGCGAAAGCGUGGGGAGCGAACCGG